This is an unclassified non-coding RNA of Otolemur garnettii (small-eared galago), 96 nucleotides long. It matches the Rfam family "Y RNA". From Rfam's summary of the family: Y RNAs are components of the Ro ribonucleoprotein particle (Ro RNP), in association with Ro60 and La proteins. The Y RNAs and Ro60 and La proteins are well conserved, but the function of the Ro RNP is not known. The record is from Ensembl. Lineage: Eukaryota; Metazoa; Chordata; Mammalia; Primates; Galagidae.
GGCUAGCCUGAGAGCAGUGGUGCUUACAACUAAGUGAUCACAACCAGUUACAGAUUGCUUUGUUCCUUCUCCACUGCUUCACUUGACUAGCCUUAA